RNAcentral lists this ribosomal RNA (219 nucleotides) under uncultured bacterium. RNAcentral's name for it is "partial 16S ribosomal RNA". It matches the Rfam family "Bacterial small subunit ribosomal RNA", at positions 99 to 334 of the family's 1533-position model. The record is from RNAcentral.
CGGACGGGUGAGUAACGCGUGAGAAUCUGCCUUUAGGACGGGGACAACAGCUGGAAACGGCUGCUAAAACCCGAUGUGCCUUUCGGGGUGAAAUAUUUAUAGCCUGAAGAUGAGCUCGCGUCUGAUUAGCUAGUAGGUGAGGUAAAGGCUCACCUAGGCGACGAUCAGUAACUGGUCUGAGAGGAUGACCAGUCACACUGGGACUGAGACACGGCCCAG